GGGCCAAUCAGAACCUGCCGGGGGGUCUCUAUGCUGACCGGAAGUGGGUCUGUUACCCGGGGGCCAUCUUGCCGCUCGAGGUGCCGAGCCUUAGAGACGCGGGUCCCCGGGGGUCGAGGAAGGGGAGGCAGCUGUCGGUCACCGAGCUCCCGGGCGCAGGCCAGCCCGAGACCAGGCCCUAGAACCUUCCAGAUGCCGGUGUAUGUAUCGGGCCGCGGAGGUUGGGUCUCCCGCGGCUGGGCAUCAUCGCGCAUGCGCGGCCGGGCCAUGGCUGCCGCUCCGCAGGAAGGAGAGGAGGAGGCAGCAAGGAGUGGGUGGACUGGGAGUAACCCAGGCCCAGAGGCCCGAGCAUCCCCGGUGGCGGCACAGCGUCUGGACGGCAAGUUUGGCUGUGCAGGUGGGUGAGCGGAUGGGGGCGAAGGUGAGAGGCACCCAGAGUGCUUCCCGGAUGGUGACGCCCGGGAGGCCGGUGUGCCACGUGGGGCACAUCCUUGUGCUGAGGGUGCUGAGGCCCAGGUGCGGCUGGUCUGGAGGUCACGGGGCCUCCACGCUGCAGGCUGGGGCUUCCCCACCUCCCCACCUCCCGCCCUGUGCCGCUGUCUCAGAGCCUCUCCACCCCCAGCCUCUCCCUGCACGUUGUAUUUCCUUAAAUCUGUUUGAAAAGAAGGACCUACUUGUCCCCCACGUGUCGUCCCCCACCCCACCCACCCCUGCACGGCACCACAAAGCAGAGGGAAGCGGUGAGUGUUUAUAACUGCAGGCCAGAGGCAGGUCAUGGCCUGAGGCCUGAUGUCCUACUUAAAUCAAGAGGUGAGGUGGCGAUCCCAGGUGCAGGAGGUCCUGGGGCCCCCAGAUUCUAGAGGCAGGAAGCAGAAGGGUGGUUGCCGGGGCCGGGGAGGGAGAGGGCCACGGGGAGUUUUUAGUGGGUUUCAGUUUGCAAGAUGGAAGUUCUGAGGACGGAGCGUAGGGAAGGGCGUCCCACUGGGUGAAUGUAGACACGACACUGGUUCAGCUCUUAAAAGUAGGUAAGAUGGUAAAUUUGUGUUGUGUGUUUCUCAGCACAGUGUUUUAGAAAAGGAGAUGAACGAACGUGAGAGAGGUGUCAGCCCCCUCCGCUUCCAGAUGAGGCUUUGUCCUUGAUGAAGCAGAACACGUGAAAGAGAAUUGAAAGGCAAUGACUCACUCCCUGUAUGAUGUGGAUGUGCUGUUGCUUAAAAUUAAUAUGUCACACUGUGGUCAGAGGAGGAAAGGGGAUGACGAAGGGGCAGAGGUGUAGGCAGGCCGAGGAGGGAUCUGGCCCCCCUGCUGCAGGAGAGGCCGUGGGACAGUUGUGGCAGGUGCCCCGGCCACACUACCGGAAAGGGAAGUGGGAGCUGCGGGUCCCAGCUGCCGGGCUCCAUCCGUGUGAUCCUGGGGAAGGCGCGUCACCGACCCACAGGGUGAUGAAGAGGCUGCAGUGAGGCUGACCUGAGCUUGGCCUGGGAAAGUACGUGGGCGGGCUCAGUGCGCAUGGUCCAGGGGUCCUGGGUGGCCGUCUUUUGGGGCCCUGUUCCUGGAUCUCAUCAAGAGUCCCCUAGGUUUUCACGGAUCCGUGAACUCAGUUCCCGUGGGACAUUUGACCAGGUUCCCUGUGUUCACAUCCUUCAAGAUGCCAGACGAGAGGACGUGGUGGUUGUACCGUGUCACUGGGCUCACGAGGGAACUGCAUCCAGUUGAUGCUCAUUAAGUGUCUGUUAAAUGGUUACAGGGAUGAA
Molecule: long non-coding RNA, 1754 nt
Filed under: Vulpes vulpes (red fox)
Lineage: Eukaryota; Metazoa; Chordata; Mammalia; Carnivora; Canidae
Description: lncRNA (ENSVVUG00000016861.1)
Source: RNAcentral